Molecule: long non-coding RNA, 742 nt
Organism: Nyctereutes procyonoides (raccoon dog)
Lineage: Eukaryota; Metazoa; Chordata; Mammalia; Carnivora; Canidae
Exons: 2
Source: RefSeq, a predicted model, not a curated record
GCUCCGCGUGUCGGGCGCGGGGUGACUGGCUCCAGCCUGGGCCGCAGGGGCCGCGGCGGGGGAGGCGCCUCUGUCCCCAGGGUUAGCUCCGGUCCCCGGCGAUGGGGCGCAGGCGGGCCGCGGCGGCCCUUCCGUCCAGGUGAGUUCGCUGGGAGAUCUGUGUGCAGGCUGAACGCGUGCUGGUGUCUUUGCUGCCUGGUCCCGGGAACCUGGAGUGUCGUUGUUGGGGGUUUAGAACUUCCUAGGUUUCUUUGCUUUCAUUUACUCAACCUGUAACUUCUGAAGCCUGAUCUGCUCAAGACCCUGUUUUGUGUGGAUGUAAAUAAAAGGGUUCAGUCCCCAAGGAGACUUUCCCUGCACUUUAUGGUUUUCAUGACUGUGUGUGACAUGUCGCUUCUGCCUCUGAGCUACGUAGUUGGCAGCACCGGUCCCACUGAGUGACGUAGAGAGCCGCUCCCGGUUCUCUUUAUGAUGCAGAAGCACCCAGGGCCCUGCUCAUCCUAGAGCAUGAGCCGUCUCAAAAUGGGGGCCCGUGGAGGGAGGUGACCGUUGUCUCCCGGUGACCCAGGGGGCUGCUCGCAAGAGCACAUAACUCUCGGAGUGGGCACCUGCCCUGCUUUCCGUGCUUGUCUUUAGAGAAAGGGUAGUAAUUGCCCAUAUUAACAUCUUGUGUUAGGAUACGUAUACUGGGGGAGACUGGACGUGUUGGUGUUUCUGAAAUAAACCAUUACUCCCCGCUUUG